RNAcentral lists this ribosomal RNA (460 nucleotides) under uncultured bacterium. RNAcentral's name for it is "partial 16S ribosomal RNA". It matches the Rfam family "Bacterial small subunit ribosomal RNA", at positions 338 to 795 of the family's 1533-position model. The record is from RNAcentral.
CCUACGGGUGGCAGCAGUGAGGAAUAUUGGUCAAUGGGCGCGAGCCUGAACCAGCCAAGUAGCGUGAAGGAUGACUGUCCUACGGGUUGUAAACCUCUUUUAUAAAGGAACAAAGUGAGGCACGUGUGCCUUUUUGUAUGUACUUUAUGAAUAAGGAUCGGCUAACUCCGUGCCAGCAGCCGCGGUAAUACGGAGGAUCCGAGCGUUAUCCGGAUUUAUUGGGUUUAAAGGGAGCGUAGUUGGGUUGUUAAGUCAGGUGUGAAAGUUUGCGGCUCAACCGUAAAAUUGCAAUUGAUACUGGCAGUCGUGAGUAGAGUAGAAGUAGGCGGAAUUCGUGGUGUAGCGGUGAAAUGCAUAGAUAUCACGAAGAACUCCGAUUGCGAAGGCAGCUUACUAAACUGACACUGACAUUGAUGCUCGAAAGUGUGGGUAUCAAACAGGAUUAGAUACCCUUGUAGUC